RNAcentral lists this unclassified non-coding RNA (2688 nucleotides) under Hevea brasiliensis (rubber tree). Lineage: Eukaryota; Viridiplantae; Streptophyta; Magnoliopsida; Malpighiales; Euphorbiaceae. The record is from RNAcentral.
GAGCUGUGAUGAUGAAUUUUUGAAAUUUGAAUUGGAAUAUGAGCAGAUAGUGGCUCUCCAGACAAAGACUGCCAAGGCGGCUACUGUAGAUAUUCUUACUACGCAUUGCAUACCUUCAGCAAUGUCAGAUGAUCUUAGGCCUUUAAUUGUGUCCUAGUAUAGGUACAUUGCUAUGAUCUUGUAGCCUUGUUACCACCACAUAUUCUGCCAUGAACAUUAGGAGGAAGAAAAUUUUGUAGAUUCCUUGAGGGUGGACGGUGGACUUUGGAGGUUUAUGUAUCAUUUGUAAUAUCUGAUGCACCUUCCCUAGAUGGUGUUAGGUGUUGACCAUUUUCUUUGAGAAGUGUGGCGGAGUUCAUUGGGAUCUCAAUAGCGAGGGAAAGCUCUCCAGGAACAUUAGUAAUGGUGAUUCUUUUCCUCCAGUUUUCACAGAUAAACUUUUGAGAACUGGGUUGGCAUUUGGUCAUUUGUAGCUUUUUCAUUGAAUAGAAAAUUAAUACAACCUCGUUAAUACCGAAUUUCCAGCUUGUUGGAGACUCUGUCACUGUGAAUUUCUGGUUCAUAACUUCUUGAUUUCACUGAGGGCCACUGAAGGAGUGCCAAUGCUACCUUGGUGAAUCAUUUUGACACUGAAAUUAACCUUUGGAGGCAUCAGCAAAAAUUGCAACGUGAAGGCAGAAGUGAAAUUCAAGCGGUGAGGGUUUGUCGAAACUCAAAAUCAAUCUUAUGCCAAAUAUUCAUUCGUGGGAAAGAUGAACCAAGAAGCGUGUAAUGGGCUGAUCUUAUUUUCAUCUUCGUCAACUUACUGAAUAAGGAUAACAUACGCUUAUCGAAGUGCUUAAUCAGGAUAUCAACUGAUGUCAAAGUUUUGGCAGGCAAAAUGGUUUUCGUAGGGCAAUCCUAAAUUAAAGUUACGAGUUCUGCCCACAAACAGAAAACCAAUUUUCUCGCUUUAUAUUUUGACAUAGGCCAAACAAUAUUAUUAUCUUGAUGCAUCCCUGCUAAUACUAUGAAUUGCAUUAGUUUACACAUUCGUCCGACUCCCCAAGAGAGGGGUACUCUGCUGUUCACUAAUUUCUUUCGCUUCAAUUUGUUCUUCUUCCUUGGAUUGUGCCCACAUUACUCCAUAGAAACCCGCAACGAUUAUGAUCGCCCCUAUAAUGCUUCCAACAUGAAGUGUAUCGCCCAGAAAGAUGACACUCAAAAAGGCAGCAAUGGCUAUCCCUAAGGGUUUGAACAUGGCCACAAAAACAGGCCCUUUCUUAUGUAUGCACCAUGUUGCUACACUGUAUGUCACCACAUUUCCAAACACAGCUGAGUAGAUGACAGAUACGAGCUCAAUAUCAGGCUUCAGUUUCCAAGCAUUUGGGUUCUUCUCUGCAAUCAAGGCAACUAUUGCACAUUGUAUAGUUCCAAAUAGGCAAUAGAAGGAGACUAUGGUCAUCUCUGAAGGGUACCCUCUCAGAAUUGCUGCCUGAAAAAUAGUAAAUACUGACAGAGAUAAACUAGCAGUUGCAAAGAAUAAUCCACCUAUGACCCAGGAAUUUUUUGCUGUCAAUACAGGUUCCGGAUGUGAUGGCAAGGUUGUGACACCUAUUGGAGGACCUUCGUAAAAGAUUAUAAUCAUUGCUCCUGAAAUUGAUACUAGUGUGCCCAAAAUUUUGAUCUGGCUUCUUGAGCUUCUCAAAUCUAACUUCUCCAUCCUAAAAUUGGGGGCCAAAAAAGCGUAUCAGAGACAUAUUUACUUCCCUUUUAGAGCUUAUGUUACAAGUUCAUUGUCCAAAAUUCAACAUGAGAUAACAACCCAUAUCGAUUUUGCAUUUCAGGCAAAGGGAAACUAGUCUUUUAGAACUGAAUAUUGUUAUAUGUUUCAGUAUGCAUUAUAUAUUUUCUAAUGAAUUGAAAAACUAUAAAUAAUUUUGCAAUACUUAAUGGAUUAAAGAGUGGACAUUUCUCAUUUCUUCUUAUUUUCCACAGUCUGCAGUGUGAGAAAAGGGGAAAAUGGAAAAGAAAGAACCUGAACAUAACUGCAAGCAAGAAGGUAAAGGCAGGGAAUAAUUGGCCUAUAGCAGAAGCAAGGGUAGGAGAACUGUAGUUUACACCAGUGAACACACAAUUCUGCAUCAUGGUAAUUCUACAAAACCCCAAACAAGUAUCAAAGUUAAAUUUCCUCCAACAAGAGGGAAACCAAACACACUUCUAAAAUCAACAAAAAGAAGCUCCUCGAUUAAAUUACACACCCAACAAGGCUGAGGAGGAAGAAUUUGCAGAGGAGGGAGUAGGUAAGUGGUGGUCUCUUUGUCCUACAUACAAAAGGUAAAGAAAGGUAAAGAAGUCAAAAUUAAUAAUCAAAGGAGAAAGAAAAAAGGAAAAAGAAAGAUGGGUUUUGCUACUGGUGCUGUUCUUAAUAACCUGUUGAAGAAGAAAGAAAAAAGGAACAUCAUGACAGUGGCAAGAGCAUUUGAGUAGACAACAAAAACAAAGUGGCUCAUUCCCUUGGACAUGGCUGCUUUGCUUAUUGUGGUCAAGCCCGUAUCAACGCAUUCCAGCAUUACCAGGGCUGCAAACGGCAGCAAUCUCAACAAGCAGUACUUGACACCCAUCUCUCUGCCUCUCCCGGAUGCUGAGAAAUGGGGGGACCUGGAUGGAGUCAUAGCCAUAUAAAGGAAGAUAAUAAUUGAUGGUUUC